CCAUCGCAUAGGUCGCCGAGAAGUCAGCUGAGCCAAGGCCAUCGCUGACACGGACAUCCCACACAGGACACACGGCACCCCAGGAGUAAGGCGGAAGGGCCGGGUCACCUACACCUACUCAUCUGAGUGUACAGUAUGGCUGUCCCCUACCUACGUGUCAUCGUAUGCAGCCAGAACAUGCUGAGGCUCUGUCACCCUCCUCUGUCAGUGUUGGUCACAGGGAAACGGACAUUUCUACCAAAGCACGUGAAGGCUACUCUUUCAGCUGUGGCUGCUAGAAAGAGGAAAUAUGGAGACACUGGUCCUCAUCCGAGAUCGUCGUUCGUGGAAUGGUAAGCGAUGGUUCUUGGUAAUGCCGGCAAUUCUUUCCACUUUCGUGCCCGAUUUCACUCAGUUCGUCUCGCGUACUUCAAUCUCAUUUUAUUUCCUUUUCCCAUUUUCAUUUAUCUCAUUUCAUUUACACUUCUAUUCGUGGAUCGAUGUGUGACUCCAGUCGAUGUAACAUAUGACAUACACACGCCAAAUCACGUUGGCCUAGUUUAAAACAACCUAUUUGUUCAUUUUAAGCACUAAGUGUUUUACCCUCACUGAUGGCAGCAGGCGGCCCUUUGACAAGGAAGCGGUGUGCGAGAA
Long non-coding RNA from Pollicipes pollicipes, 633 nucleotides. RefSeq lists it as uncharacterized. The record is from RefSeq and is a predicted model, not a curated record. Lineage: Eukaryota; Metazoa; Arthropoda; Thecostraca; Pollicipedomorpha; Pollicipedidae. The transcript is spliced from 3 exons.